UCUGCCUGAAGUUACUUGAACAUGUAGGCAACAUAAAUUCAAGCAAAAAUCUCUGUGAUGUUCAGUUUAUGGUUACAAACUCUUACAGGAGAAUGUUCUUUUUCCCCCUCAUCUAGUCCCAAAUUUAAAAAGUCUUUUAUCUACCACCUAAUCAUUCGUGUGGAGUUUUCAGCAGUGAAUCAUUUCCACUGUGAUAUCUGUUUUUGGGAGACGUACAUUUGAAGAAAUGAACUCCUUUUCAGAAAUGAAGCUCCAAUUUCACCCACUUCUAAUGUUUCAAGUAACUCCUAAAGCCUAGUAUUGGGCCUCUGUGUACAAAGCUGUAAAUUCAUGGAUCUGUUCCAAUUCCCAGAUUAUGAGACCUUGAAUUGGCU
RNAcentral lists this long non-coding RNA (374 nucleotides) under Oryctolagus cuniculus (rabbit). Its description in RNAcentral is "lncRNA (ENSOCUG00000039333.1)". Lineage: Eukaryota; Metazoa; Chordata; Mammalia; Lagomorpha; Leporidae. The record is from RNAcentral.